RNAcentral lists this ribosomal RNA (274 nucleotides) under uncultured bacterium. RNAcentral describes it as "partial 16S ribosomal RNA". It matches the Rfam family "Bacterial small subunit ribosomal RNA", at positions 523 to 796 of the family's 1533-position model. The record is from RNAcentral.
AUACGUAGGUCCCGAACGUUGCGCGAAAUUACUGGGCGUAAAGGGUCCGUAGGCGGUCUGGUAAGUGGAAGGUGAAAGCCUGGGGCUCAACUCCAGAAUUGCCUUCCAAACUGCCGGACUUGAGGCAGGGAGAGGUCGGCGGAAUUCCCGGUGUAGCGGCGAAAUGCGUAGAUAUCGGGAGGAACACCAGUGGCGAAGGCGGCCGACUGGAACUGUCCUGACGCUGAGGGACGAAAGCCAGGGGAGCGAACCGGAUUAGAAACCCUAGUAGUCC